CAGCCGCGGUAAGACGUAGGGCGCGAGCGUUGUCCGGAUUUAUUGGGCGUAAAGAGCUCGUAGGCGGCUUGUCGCGUCGACUGUGAAAACCCGCGGCUCAACUGCGGGCCUGCAGUCGAUACGGGCAGGCUAGAGUUCGGUAGGGGAGACUGGAAUUCCUGGUGUAGCGGUGAAAUGCGCAGAUAUCAGGAGGAACACCGGUGGCGAAGGCGGGUCUCUGGGCCGAUACUGACGCUGAGGAGCGAAAGCGUGGGGAGCGAACAGGAUUAGAUACCCUGGUAGUCCACGCUGUAAACGUUGGGCGCUAGGUGUGGGGGGCCUCUCCGGUUCUCUGUGCCGCAGCUAACGCAUUAAGCGCCCCGCCUGGGGAGUACGGCCGCAAGGCUAAAACUCAAAGGAAUUGACGGGGGCCCGCACAAGCGGCGGAGCAUGCGGAUUAAUUCGAUGCAACGCGAAGAAC
This 460-nucleotide ribosomal RNA is filed under the name uncultured actinomycete. Its description in RNAcentral is "bacterial SSU rRNA". It matches the Rfam family "Bacterial small subunit ribosomal RNA", at positions 512 to 969 of the family's 1533-position model. The record is from RNAcentral. Lineage: Bacteria; Bacillati; Actinomycetota; Actinomycetes; Actinomycetales.